AAGAGACAGAAAGAGAGAGAGAGAGAGAAAGUGAAGGAGAGAGACAAGUUUCUUCUUCUUUUUUUUUCGUUCUUUCUUUUCCUUUGUUUGUCCAUGUCUCG
This 101-nucleotide non-coding RNA is filed under the name Vaucheria litorea. The record is from RNAcentral. Lineage: Eukaryota; Xanthophyceae; Vaucheriales; Vaucheriaceae.